AAAAAAAGGACAAUUUUUUUUUUUAAAGACAGAGUUCACCAAGUUGUUCACUAAUCAUUAUUAUUGCCAGUGUUGCUUAAAAGCAUUGUAAAAAAGGCAAAGGUGAAAUGUCAGUCCCCACCCAGCCAGUUCCGACCUCCCAGCCAACGUGAACACAGCCCUGCAGGAUAGAGGGGCUGUGCAGGCUUUCUGGGGACACAGCCUGGCUCCACUUCCGCCAGGUCAGGGGCAGCUACUCAGAGUUCCGCCUGAGGCACGUGUCCCUUUGCUCUUUCUGUAGCUGCCAUGGUGUGGACGGUAGGCAUGGCGAAGCUGGACCCCUCCUCUCAGGGAGCACUGCAGCUCCCUUACGAUCCAGAGAUGGAAGAAGACUCCUAUGACAGUUUUGGGGAACCCUCAUACCCUGAAGCCUUCGAAGCUCCCCAGCCUGGCUACCCAGGGGAAGAGCCGGAGGAGGAGGAGGAAAGUAAGGUGCCCAAGUCCACGAGGCGGCAGGGCGGGGCCUCCACACGUCUUCUGUUGCUGGGUUACAUGUGCUCUGGAGGGUGGCAGCAUGAAGCUUAUUUAAGAAUACCUCUAGUCGGGGCUGGGGAUUUAGCUCAGUGGUAGAGCGCUUACCUAGGAAGCGCAAGGCCCUGGGUUUGGUCCCCAGCUCCGAAAAAAAAGAACCAAAAAAAAAAAAAAAAAAAAAAAGAAUACCUCUAGUCAGCUCUCAUGCUAACCCGCACAGUAGCCUGCAGCCCCAGUGGUCAGCAACUGUCCCUUUCUCUCCCAACCAAGUGGCUCACUGAAGUACCAGGCUUGGCUGCCAGUCACUCAGUCCUUGGUCCCUCUUGUCCCCAGUCUGCAGUACUGAAUACUGCUACCGAGGGAUGCUUUCAUCCCGACCCUCAGGCUUGGUCACUUGGCUGAUGUCCUGACCCUUCAAUUCCUUUUGCCUGCUUCCUGCUGAGGUUUCCUAUCAGUUGGAUUAGACAGAGGCCACGUUCUUUUCUCCCCACAGGGGGUGUAAAGCUUGGUCUGGGAGACUUCAUCUUCUACAGCGUUCUGGUGGGCAAGGCAGCAGCCACAGGCAACGGAGACUGGAGCACGACGCUGGCCUGCUUUAUCGCCAUCCUCAUUGGCUUGUGUCUCACCCUCCUGCUGCUCGCCGUGUUCAAGAAGGCCCUGCCCGCCCUCCCCAUCUCCAUCACCUUCGGGCUCAUCUUUUACUUCUCCACAGACAACCUGGUGCGUCCUUUCAUGGACACGUUGGCCUCCCACCAGCUCUACAUCUGACAGAAGAGCUGCGGCUCUGAGAGCUGUAGGACGCUUCGC
This 1317-nucleotide long non-coding RNA is filed under the name Rattus norvegicus (Norway rat). Its description in RNAcentral is "long non-coding RNA NONRATT009046". The record is from RNAcentral. Lineage: Eukaryota; Metazoa; Chordata; Mammalia; Rodentia; Muridae.